GACGAACGCUGGCGGCGUGCUUAACACAUGCAAGUCGAACGGAAAGGCCCUGCUUUUGUGGGGUGCUCGAGUGGCGAACGGGUGAGUAACACGUGAGUAACCUGCCCUUGACUUUGGGAUAACUUCAGGAAACUGGGGCUAAUACCGGAUAGGAGCUCCUGCUGCAUGGUGGGGGUUGGAAAGUUUCGGCGGUUGGGGAUGGACUCGCGGCUUAUCAGCUUGUUGGUGGGGUAGUGGCUUACCAAGGCUUUGACGGGUAGCCGGCCUGAGAGGGUGACCGGGCACAUUGGGACUGAGAGACGGCCCAGAAUCCUACGGGAGGCAGCAGUGGGGAAUAUUGCACAAUGGGCGGAAGCCUGAUGCAGAAACGCCGCGUGCGGGAUGACGGCCUUCGGGUUGUAAACCGCUUUCGCCUGUGACGAAGAGUGAGUGACGGUAAUGGGUAAAGAAGCACCGGCUAACUACGUG
RNAcentral lists this ribosomal RNA (468 nucleotides) under uncultured bacterium. RNAcentral describes it as "partial 16S ribosomal RNA". It matches the Rfam family "Bacterial small subunit ribosomal RNA", at positions 28 to 507 of the family's 1533-position model. The record is from RNAcentral.